CCUACGGGAGGCAGCAGUGAGGAAUAUUGGUCAAUGGGCGCGAGCCUGAACCAGCCAAGUAGCGUGAAGGAUGACUGCCCUACGGGUUGUAAACUUCUUUUAUAAAGGAAUAAAGUGAGGCACGUGUGCCUUUUUGUAUGUACUUUAUGAAUAAGGAUCGGCUAACUCCGUGCCAGCAGCCGCGGUAAUACGGAGGAUCCGAGCGUUAUCCGGAUUUAUUGGGUUUAAAGGGAGCGUAGAUGGGUUGUUAAGUCAGUUGUGAAAGUUUGUGGCUCAACCGUAAAAUUGCAUUUGAUACUGGCAGUCUUGAGUACAGUUGAGGUAGGCGGAAUUCGUGGUGUAGCGGUGAAAUGCUUAGAUAUCACGAAGAACUCCGAUUGCGAAGGCAGCUGACUAAACUGCCACUGACAUUGAUGCUCGAAAGUGUGGGGAGCAAACAGGAUUAGAUACCCCUGUAGUC
Molecule: ribosomal RNA, 460 nt
Filed under: uncultured bacterium
Lineage: Bacteria
Description: partial 16S ribosomal RNA
Rfam family: Bacterial small subunit ribosomal RNA
Source: RNAcentral